This is a long non-coding RNA of Acinonyx jubatus (cheetah), 484 nucleotides long. RefSeq lists it as uncharacterized. Lineage: Eukaryota; Metazoa; Chordata; Mammalia; Carnivora; Felidae. The record is from RefSeq and is a predicted model, not a curated record. The transcript has 3 exons.
UCUCCUCAGGACUGCUGGAGUUCAGGCUCACUGUGUCUUUCCGGUCGCCCCUGGAGGCAGAGAUGGCCCGCAGGGCCCUGACUACACACGUCCAACGCCACCGAGGGUUGGCUCAGAAGGAGCUUUGCGUGAGGGGCAGCGCCCUGGCCGUGAGAUGGACUACUGAAGACCCCAUCUGCUUCCGAGUUUCCGUCAACUCCUUCCUGGACCGGCUUCCCCUGGUGAUACGAAACAUUCGCGCUUUGGGGUCCCGGCCUCCGCGACGCCUAGGCCCGGGAAAGGGGGCCGAGGCCUAACCUGGUAGCCCUCACUGGGCAAGGCACGGGGCGUUGACACUUGGCGUCCUGGCCACUUUAUUAUCGGGGGUCUAACGUUCUGCAGGUCCGGGCCUCGGUGGCUCUUGGCCCACUUCAGUUCCUUCCCUGCGCCCGGAGGGACGGGCGCUUACGUGUUUGUUACUGCACAACAUGAAACUGAGCUACUC